AGUGUCAAUUUCAAUUUUUUUUUAUUACUUAGUGAUAUAAAUAACUUACACAACACGAUAUGUCUAAAUAGAAUAUUCUUUGAAUAGUAUGUGACGAACGCAACAUAUCACAAAUGUAUUUUAUCUUAAUAUUGUUUGUAUUACGGCAUAUGCGUUCGAUACUUUCAGCUGCCUUCUCUUUCAGCACUGGCGGGCAUUCCCUCUUCAGAAUUCAAGGAACUAACUUGCUUAUAACUCUCGCCUUUCUGUACCUUUUUCGGUAACGCCGCGACUGGGGACCGGUAAGGUGGGUCACUCAGCACGCUAGUUCGAAUCCUGCACCAAUGGUCUGGGAUGAAAAGGAAGGGCAACCACGGUCCCCGCCUGUCAGACCAAAGCCAUUGGGAAGAGCGCACUGUCCUUACUCGUGGCGUAAACCCGAAUCAUUGUUAUUAUUAAACGAUGAAUUUCUUUUUUGUCACACUGCUGAGUUUCGACCAGAAACCUGAAGCAACAAAAAGAAUAUCUUAGGAAGAAGCUCUUAUAGUGCCCAUUUACUAGAUCAGUGUUACUUAACCGGGGUGCGAGGCCGUUCCUAGGGGGUACAAGGAUGCAAAACAUAUUUUUGCAUGCGCGGUAUUUUUAUCACACACAAAAAAAAACUUUGUCAAUAAAGAAAGAAUAAGAAAAAACAUGAGAUCCUAUUUGUAAUUCGGGAAAGACUGCUGAUGUGAAAAGAGCACGUCCACUGAAAAAGGUUAGAACCAUGUACUUGGACAACAUAUCAAACUCCCUAGCAGACACAUUUUUAUUUGUUGAUACGGACACAUCAGUCAAAAUCCAGGUUUUUUCCCUUGUGUUUUUUAUGAUUAUGUCUGGCCUAUUCACUUGAAUGGUUCUCUCAGAAGUUAUGCAGAAAUCCCGGAGAAUUGUGACCUUGUCAUUCUCUAUCACAGGUGGCAGCUUGUGUUCUUACCAUUAGUAUCAUGAUAUGUAAAUUUAUUUCUAUUAUUAUUAUUAUUGUUAUGACUAACA
This is a long non-coding RNA of Penaeus indicus, 1014 nucleotides long. RefSeq lists it as uncharacterized. The record is from RefSeq and is a predicted model, not a curated record. The transcript has 3 exons. NCBI's taxonomy places the organism in Eukaryota, Metazoa, Arthropoda, Malacostraca, Decapoda, Penaeidae.